This 516-nucleotide ribosomal RNA is filed under the name uncultured bacterium. RNAcentral's name for it is "partial 16S ribosomal RNA". It matches the Rfam family "Bacterial small subunit ribosomal RNA", at positions 28 to 523 of the family's 1533-position model. The record is from RNAcentral.
GACGAACGCUGGCGGCAUGCCUAACACAUGCAAGUCGAACGGAGAAGUUCAGCAAUGGAUUUCUUAGUGGCGAACGUGUGAGUAACGCGUAGACAACCUGCCUCUAAGCUGGAGACAACAACUCGAAAGGGUUGCUAAUACCGAAUGUGAACAGUGCCUCGCAUGGGAUGCUGUUUGAAGGUGGCCUCUGAAUAUGCUACCGCUUAGAGAUGGGUCUGCGUCUGAUUAGCUAGUUGGAGGGGUAAUGGCCCACCAAGGCGACGAUCAGUAGCCGGUCUGAGAGGAUGAACGGCCACACUGGGACUGAGACACGGCCCAGACUCCUACGGGAGGCAGCAGUGGGGAAUCUUCCGCAAUGGACGAAAGUCUGACGGAGCAACGCCGCGUGAGUGAAGAAGGCCCUCGGGUCGUAAAGCUCUGUCUUCAGGGACGAAUGUGCAGAUUGUGAAUAAUGGUUUGUAAUGACGGUACCUGAGGAGGAAGCCACGGCUAACUACGUGCCAGCCGCCGCAGUAA